AAACUUUUUCUUCAAUUUAUGUAUAAAAUUGAAAAUUUUAGAAAAAAAUUAAUUAAAUGAAAUGUACAUGAUUUCCAAUUGAUAUUCUAAGUUGGUUGGUCCCUUCUCAUGAAAGCAAGAGGUUAAGGGUUCAAAUAAUUAAUAGCAAGAAUAAUAUUAGUGUUCCCAGUAUUUGAAUCCUAAGUUCAAUCAAAAUUGACGCGGCAGCACCACAUUAAUUUAAUUACUAAUGUUUAACAUGAUGUUGCAGUUAUAGAUAAGUAACGAUAUAACUUGGAGAGAUUGUCAAUUUCCUCCGGUGUUUUCAUAAUAUCCAAUAAUCUCUUUGGCACAAAAAAAAAUUAAAGAAAAGGAGAGAUAAGUACGUCAUUUGCUUGAUGUUUGAUCUUUGGAAUAUAUGAUAUAUAUUUAGUGCAAGAAAAAAUAUUUAAAAAAGUACAAAAAUAUCUUAUUAGUAAUUU
This 461-nucleotide long non-coding RNA is filed under the name Citrus x clementina. RNAcentral's name for it is "Citrus clementina (C. clementina) long non-coding RNA (CCLE_LNC001862)". The record is from RNAcentral. Lineage: Eukaryota; Viridiplantae; Streptophyta; Magnoliopsida; Sapindales; Rutaceae.